RNAcentral lists this long non-coding RNA (354 nucleotides) under Octopus sinensis (East Asian common octopus). Its description in RNAcentral is "uncharacterized LOC118766581, transcript variant X3". Lineage: Eukaryota; Metazoa; Mollusca; Cephalopoda; Octopoda; Octopodidae. The record is from RNAcentral.
AUUGUUCUGCUCUGUCAUCAAUACGUUUAAAUGUCUUACAAGAGAUAAGAUAUUUUCGUGAUUGGAGCAGUCGUGUGAAUUUCGUCUCUCUUCUACCUCUAUCUCUCUAUCUAUCUAUCUCCAUCUAUCUAUCUCCAUCUAUCUAUCUAUCUAUCUCUUUCUCAGUUUCUAGGUCCCUAACAAUCAGUCUCUUUAUCUCUCAGAUGCUGUUGGGAUGAAGUGAUCCCUAAGUGAUCCCUAAGUGAUCCCUAUUACCAACCACGUUCAAACCUACAACUAAUAGAUGGAGGACAACGCUAAAUCUAUCCCUAUCUACCAGUUUAAAUUCACAAGAAUUUCUAACGCUAAAGAUGU